Tursiops truncatus (common bottlenose dolphin) is the source of this 66-nucleotide small nuclear RNA. Lineage: Eukaryota; Metazoa; Chordata; Mammalia; Artiodactyla; Delphinidae. The record is from Ensembl.
GUGCUCGCUUCGGCAGCACGUAUACUAAAAUUGCAACGAUACAGAGAAGCUUAGCAUGGCCCCUGC